UACGUAGGGGGCUAGCGUUGCUCGGAAUCACUGGGCGUAAAGGGUGCGUAGGCGGGUCUUUAAGUCAGGGGUGAAAUCCUGGAGCUCAACUCCAGAACUGCCUUUGAUACUGAGGAUCUUGAGUUCGGGAGAGGUGAGUGGAACUGCGAGUGUAGAGGUGAAAUUCGUAGAUAUUCGCAAGAACACCAGUGGCGAAGGCGGCUCACUGGCCCGGUACUGACGCUGAGGUGCGAAAGCGUGGGGAGCAAACAGG
Molecule: ribosomal RNA, 253 nt
Filed under: uncultured bacterium
Lineage: Bacteria
Description: partial 16S ribosomal RNA
Rfam family: Bacterial small subunit ribosomal RNA
Source: RNAcentral